This 74-nucleotide transfer RNA is filed under the name Rhamnusium bicolor. RNAcentral describes it as "tRNA-OTHER". Lineage: Eukaryota; Metazoa; Arthropoda; Insecta; Coleoptera; Cerambycidae. The record is from RNAcentral.
GGCUUCGUGGUCGAAUAGUAAGAACACUUGCCUCUCACCUAGUAGUCCCGGGUUCGAUCCCCGGUCGAGGACCU